UCUGCAAGUUUACUGUUAAAAAAAACCAGCCAGGAGGGCGACAGAGCAGAGCAGAGCUGAGCCGUGAGGAGAGCAGAGUUUGCCGAAUACAUGAGACUGUGUGUCCCGGUGUCGGAAAUUAUUAUCUCCGCAUUCUGGGAAUUUCAUUUGCCACCAGACAAGUGGAGCGGC
This 171-nucleotide long non-coding RNA is filed under the name Cottoperca gobio. Its description in RNAcentral is "lncRNA (ENSCGOG00000008469.1)". Lineage: Eukaryota; Metazoa; Chordata; Actinopteri; Perciformes; Bovichtidae. The record is from RNAcentral.